AUUACCACAUAAUUGAAGCUUUCAAAGUGUGUUAAGCAAAUAAGAUUUCCCUCCUUCUUACAGAUGUGGAAACUAAUGCACAUCUUUGUAGUCAGAAAUUACAUUGUUAGUCCAGAAUUAAAAAAAAAAAAAAAAAAAGAAAGAAAAAAAAAAAAGAAAUGAAGUUUUAACUAAACACUCUCAGCCUUAAAGUGACAUAGAUAGCUGCAGGGAGAAGGGAGAGGACACUGUUACCUAUGGCUUGAUUCUUCAAGAAACAUCUGAUUCUAUUCUCUGCAGAUUUCAUGGGUCACCAGAAAACUGUGGCAUGAUUUCAACUGAUUGCGGAUGAUCUGUUUGAAUUUUCCAGGUUUUCUGUCCUUCCUGGAAGCUGAGAUGCACAGAACACAUGGGAGUAACAUUUGCAUGGAGGAUGGCACUGACUGCUUUGUGACACAUGCAGAAGAGAAGCACUUUCUGAGUGGCACUAUCUACAGUUGGUCCAGGAUGGAUACUUACCCAGGGGAUAAAUGAUGCAUCUUCAAGGCAGAGGAGAGGUCCCCAGCUGGCUUCCAGGCCUGGGUAGAUAUGACACGCUGCUGUCAAGUGCCCUCACAAAGCACUGCCCUCUUUUUCUUCCCAGAUCUCUGCCAUCCUUUAUCCUGUCCCAGAUGUCCUUUCACAGCUGCCCAAUCCCACCUGAUUCAUGUUUUUAAUACUCUCAAUUAAAAAAUUAGUAAUUAAAAUGAAGCCCCCUUUGCCCAUAUUACUCUCAGCCUUUACACUGCUCCAUCUGCCUGUUCCCAGUCUCCUUGUUUUUAAAAAGACUCAUUAGCAUGUGAUCUUGUCCCUGCCAGGAUUCCCCAGUGCCAUCUGCUCCCUUCCUACAUGAUCAGUCCCACCCAGAUCAGUGUUUACCAUACUCAAAAAUCAAACAUGUUUUCCGAGCACUGGUUUUGAAGAAUGCUUUUGUGAUUCUCUACCAAAGACAACUCCAAUCAGCCUCUGCCCACAUUGCCAAUGCCAUAGAAGGCCAUAGAAAUGCCAUAGAAAUGAUGUAUUCCCGGAUAUGUGGGGUCUUUGUGGCAACAACGUAUCAGUAUGCUUUGGGCUAUUCAACCAUAUGUUGUGUUAUUUGCUUAAGGCAUUUUGAUCUGAUUGAGUGAGGACCAAAGAGUAAACACCUUCCUAAACUCAACAUCCUCCUUGUGGAAGGACUUUGUGUAUACCAUUAAAUUUUAACUCCAACAUAAAAACAUGUUCAUAUUAUAGUGCUUGGAAGAGUUUUCAAAAUAGACCUUCUUUUUCCAUUUUCCCUAGAUAUUUUCGAGGCAUGUUCUGCUUAUAAAGAGGAGAAGCAAGUGGAGUAAUGUCCUCUGCUUACUAGAGAACUGCUGAAGAGUGUCCCAGACUUUUUCCUUACAUUUGAGCUAGGAGCUCCAGUGGGUGACUUGCAAUAAUCCUGCUGCUCUUUGCUUCAGGCCUCCUCCCUGUGAGUGAAGUGGGACUUACUGUACAUUUUUGUGCCCAUCCUCCUACCCGGAAGUGAUCUGGGCCCUCUCUUAUGUAACUUAAGACUUCAGAGAAUGCCUGCACCUGAUAUUGGGAUUUUUAGAACUCAGCAGUGGUCAAAUGUCUGCCUCUGGCAGCUGCUGUGGGCUGCCUGCUUCAUAAAUGCUCCAUACACCCUACCUGAGAUAACAUUAGAUCAGAACAGGAAAAAGUCAGAAGUAGUUUAAACCCAUUUUUCCAGGUUUAUGCAGCCAUGCACUUAACAUAGGACAGUGACUUUCAAUACUGAGCAUCACAAUGUUCAUCCCUUUAAAGAUCCAGCUCUAUGAUAACAGAAGUCUCUCCUCCAAAUCAUGUAAAAUGUGCCGAUGAAUCUGAGGUCAAUGAAUACAAUCUAUUAAGACUUAAAAACAAAGCACAAUAAAACAAACAAAAAAACAAAAACA
This 1937-nucleotide long non-coding RNA is filed under the name Anas platyrhynchos platyrhynchos (common mallard). RNAcentral describes it as "lncRNA (ENSAPLG00000026604.1)". The record is from RNAcentral. Lineage: Eukaryota; Metazoa; Chordata; Aves; Anseriformes; Anatidae.